This 189-nucleotide ribosomal RNA is filed under the name uncultured fungus. RNAcentral's name for it is "partial 18S ribosomal RNA". It matches the Rfam family "Eukaryotic small subunit ribosomal RNA", at positions 697 to 887 of the family's 1831-position model. The record is from RNAcentral. Lineage: Eukaryota; Fungi.
CUACCUUCUGAAGAACCACGAUGUCAUUAAUUUGGUGUCGCGGGGAAUCAGGACUGUUACUUUGAAAAAAUUAGAGUGUUUAAAGCAGGCUCGCGCUUGAAUACAUUAGCAUGGAAUAAUGAAAUAGGACGUUGACCCUAUUUUGUUGGUUUCUAGGAUUGACGUAAUGAUUAAUAGGGAUAGUUGGGA